UACAGAGGGGGCAAGCGUUGUUCGGAAUUACUGGGCGUAAAGGGCGCGUAGGCGGCCAACUAAGUCAGACGUGAAAUCCCUCAGCUUAACUGGGGAACUGCGUCUGAUACUGGAUGGCUUGGAUUCGGGAGAGGAAUGCGGAAUUCCAGGUGUAGCGGUGAAAUGCGUAGAUAUCUGGAGGAACACCGGUGGCGAAGGCGGCAUUCUGGACCGACAUUGACGCUGAGGAGCGAAAGCCAGGGGAGCAAACGGG
RNAcentral lists this ribosomal RNA (253 nucleotides) under uncultured bacterium. RNAcentral's name for it is "partial 16S ribosomal RNA". It matches the Rfam family "Bacterial small subunit ribosomal RNA", at positions 524 to 776 of the family's 1533-position model. The record is from RNAcentral.